This 253-nucleotide ribosomal RNA is filed under the name uncultured bacterium. RNAcentral's name for it is "partial 16S ribosomal RNA". It matches the Rfam family "Bacterial small subunit ribosomal RNA", at positions 524 to 776 of the family's 1533-position model. The record is from RNAcentral.
UACGGAGGGUGCAAGCGUUAAUCGGAAUUACUGGGCGUAAAGCGUGCGCAGGCGGUUUUUUAAGUCUGAGGUGAAAUCCCCGGGCUUAACCUGGGAAUUGCGUUGGAGACUGCAAGGCUAGAGUCUGGCAGAGGGCGGUAGAAUUCCACGUGUAGCAGUGAAAUGCGUAGAGAUGUGGAGGAACACCGAUGGCGAAGGCAGCCCCCUGGGUCAAGACUGACGCUCAUGUACGAAAGCGUGGGGAGCAAACAGG